GUAGGGAAUAUUGCGCAAUGGAGGCAACUCUGACGCAGCCAUGCCGCGUGCAGGAAGAAGGCGCUACGCGUUGUAAACUGCUUUUAACCGGGAAGAAACCCCAGGACGUGUCCUGGGUUGACGGUACCGGAGGAAUAAGCACCGGCUAACUUCGUGCCAGCAGCCGCGGUAAUACGAAGGGUGCAAGCGUUAUCCGGAUUCAUUGGGUUUAAAGGGUGCGUAGGCGGAGCGUUAAGUCAGUGGUGAAAUCCUGCAGCUUAACUGUAGACUUGCCAUUGAUACUGGCGCUCUUGAGUGCGCUUGAAGUGGGCGGAAUGUGCCGUGUAGCGGUGAAAUGCUUAGAUAUGGCACAGAACACCAAUUGCGAAGGCAGCUCACUAAGGCGAUACUGACGCUGAGGCACGAAAGCGUGGGGAUCGAACAGGAUUAGAUACCCUGGUAGUCC
This 445-nucleotide ribosomal RNA is filed under the name uncultured bacterium. RNAcentral's name for it is "partial 16S ribosomal RNA". It matches the Rfam family "Bacterial small subunit ribosomal RNA", at positions 354 to 796 of the family's 1533-position model. The record is from RNAcentral.